Ribosomal RNA from Gouania willdenowi (blunt-snouted clingfish), 119 nucleotides. Lineage: Eukaryota; Metazoa; Chordata; Actinopteri; Blenniiformes; Gobiesocidae. The record is from Ensembl.
GCUUACGGCCAUACCGCUCUGAUCAAGCCCGAUCUCGUCUGAUCUCGGGAGCUACGCAAAGCUGGGCAAGGUUAGUACUUGAAUGGGAGACUCUCUGGGUAUACCGUGUGCUGUAAGUU